Molecule: unclassified non-coding RNA, 387 nt
Filed under: Hevea brasiliensis (rubber tree)
Lineage: Eukaryota; Viridiplantae; Streptophyta; Magnoliopsida; Malpighiales; Euphorbiaceae
Source: RNAcentral
UAAGUACUUUAGGGCCAAAAGUGCCCUAUGGUAAAAUUUUGUGACAACAUAAUGCUUGAAACAUAAAUAUAAAUUUCCUCAAUGCCACACCAUAUCUACGAUUGCCUUGAAUGACUUCUCACCCUUGGUGAACGGGAAUAAGAACGAGAUCCAGAACGAGAAUGGGAGUGAGACCGAGAACCGGAGCGAGAAUGGUAUCUUCGAGAACUCCUGCUCCUACUUGGACUUCUACUGUGUCGGUGUCUUCUAGGUGGAGAUCGACUAUAGCUCCUACUGCGGCUACGACGCCUAUAACGACUUAACCGGUUUGUUUCUGCAAGUUUCUCCAGCCUCUGACGCUCCUGUUCUCGUUUCUUGGCAAUUUCAGCAGCAGUAUCUUUUUUAAUU